This 309-nucleotide ribosomal RNA is filed under the name Triticum aestivum (bread wheat). RNAcentral's name for it is "partial small subunit ribosomal RNA". Lineage: Eukaryota; Viridiplantae; Streptophyta; Magnoliopsida; Poales; Poaceae. The record is from RNAcentral.
AUGCCCCAUCGGCCUCCUCUACAUCACGCCUCCCGACACCACCCCACCUCCAUCGCCCUUGUUGCUGCUGCUAGACCACCAUGGCCACCUUCCCAUGUUUCUUCUUCGGCCUUCAGUGCAUCGAACACCCCCACUGGUGCCUCUGUGAACAUUGCCAUGUUUGGCCACCACCAAGACCCUCAAAUCCUAUACCGGGAGCCCAAGUUUGAAGACUGCGUGGAUGUGCAUCUCACUUGUGCUACUUUGGAUCAUCAAGACCAUUUCGGGAUUCGCCAAGUACCGCUACGCCCGAAGACCACGGAUCCAUGA